This is a long non-coding RNA of Labrus mixtus (cuckoo wrasse), 822 nucleotides long. RefSeq lists it as uncharacterized. The record is from RefSeq and is a predicted model, not a curated record. The transcript is spliced from 2 exons. Lineage: Eukaryota; Metazoa; Chordata; Actinopteri; Labriformes; Labridae.
UGCCUGCCUGCCUGUCUGUCUGUCUGCCUGUCUGUCUGUCUGUGUGGCAGGCUCUCCAGUCCUGCCUUCCCGUUACCUUGUCAAGCCUCUCCUCCUCGUCCUCCUUACUGCACACCUGCAUCCCAUCUAUAAUCAAGUCUGCAGUGUUUAAACCAUGGCCUGUCCUCCAUUCUUUGACACAUUGUCUACUCACCCUGAGUGGUAGCUAGAGUCUGUCCCUUAAAUUAAUACGUUUUUCUUUCUGUCUUUUUUUUUUCUCCUGCCUGAGUGUUUUUGUCCGCCCGUCUGCCACAACCUCUGGAUUAUCCACCAUUACUGCUUUGUUUUUUUUGGACCAUAAACCAGCUCCUGUGUUUAUUGUGUUGCUCUUGGAUCCAGUCCUUCAUUUAAAUCACAAACACAAACUUUUGUUUCAUCAUUUACCACAAGCCCCCUGCGGAAGUCCCAGUGGUCGGCUGCAGCGAGUUGUUUGAAGGUGUCCUCCACUAGCAGAUGUCGGUGAUGCCCCUGGGGACAGACCAGGAAACCGGGCUGAGGGCAGUCUGAGCACCGAACUGUCCACUGGAGCCGUCUCCCCACCAGAUCAGCUGCACCAUGAUAACACCAUGGACUGUAAAUAAUGACGAGUACACCUGGUGUGUUGAUGGAAUCUGUUGUGGAACGCCCUUUUGAUGUUGCAUUCAAGUGCUGCCGGGAAAUAUUACAAUCGCGUCAAGUCUUUCAACUCUUAUUGUGUGAGUUCAGGAUAUUGUUUGGAUCUGUGAUGAUAGUUAAAAUGGUUUUACACGACCACACUUGUUAAAUAAAUAAAACAAACUUGUU